UACGUAGGGUGCAAGCGUUAAUCGGAAUUACUGGGCGUAAAGCGUGCGCAGGCGGUUCGGCAAGAAGGAUGUGAAAUCCCAGGGCUUAACCCUGGAACUGCAUUCUUAACUGCCGGGCUAGAGUACGUCAGAGGGGGGUAGAAUUCCACGUGUAGCAGUGAAAUGCGUAGAGAUGUGGAGGAAUACCGAUGGCGAAGGCAGCCCCCUGGGAUGAUACUGACGCUCAUGCACGAAAGCGUGGGGAGCAAACAGG
This 253-nucleotide ribosomal RNA is filed under the name uncultured Castellaniella sp. RNAcentral describes it as "partial 16S ribosomal RNA". It matches the Rfam family "Bacterial small subunit ribosomal RNA", at positions 524 to 776 of the family's 1533-position model. The record is from RNAcentral. Lineage: Bacteria; Pseudomonadati; Pseudomonadota; Betaproteobacteria; Burkholderiales; Alcaligenaceae.